This 275-nucleotide unclassified non-coding RNA is filed under the name fungal sp. RNAcentral's name for it is "partial internal transcribed spacer region". The stretch from base 1 to 46 matches the Rfam family "Eukaryotic small subunit ribosomal RNA", at positions 1786 to 1831 of the family's 1831-position model. The record is from RNAcentral. Lineage: Eukaryota; Fungi.
AAGUCGUAACAAGGUUUCCGUAGGUGAACCUGCGGAAGGAUCCCGUGAACCUUUAUUGUGGCACGCCUAUCCGUUAGAAAGUGGCAAUCCCUGGUAAAUCAUCGCCGAACAGUUUUGAUUCAGGGACUUCUGCGGGUAGGACAACUGGGCGAGCAAGUGACCUGGCACUCUGCUUGUUAGUGUCUGAAAGUGUCACAAUGCAUGAAAACGGGCCUGCGCUUAAUUGUGCGGCCACCAAACUCGAACAACUGUUAACAAUGGAUAUCUUGGUUCUC